CAAAGACCCCCGAGUGGGUUGAAACGACGGAUGCAGGGCACUGGGCCCAGGAGAGAGGGGUCAGCCUUUGCUUCCAUAAUAUUGAAAUCACCCACUUGCGUGUCCGUCUUUUCCUCGGGCUGUGACCUCCUUCAAUGGUCUGUGUCCCACUCGUCUUUCAGUCCCUCCUCCCCAUCGUCUAGCAGGGCGCCUGGCUCCCUAUAAGUUUAGCUCAAUAAAUGUUAAGUUGAACGGCGGCAGAUCUUUGCAUCGGUCCAAUCCCGAGCUUCUGUACAGAAAGCAAGAUAAACACGUUCCACUCAGGGGGCCGGCGUUCUCUUGUUCCUUUGGAGGGGCUAUGGGGGAUUCAGGGGGUACUUUAAUACUCCCGAGUGGAGGGAGCUGUCAGACAGCCGGCCCUCUGCAAGGGACAGUCGAAGGAGUUGGGAAGGUGCGUGCGCCCCUCUCACCAGGCCCGCGGAUGCUGGGUGGUACCCAAGGAGGCGCUCGGAUGGGUCACUACGGAUGGAGCUAAGCCAGGGAUCUUCUGCACGAACUUCUCCCAUCUCAGAGCAUCCUCGUCCUUCUAUGUCACUGAACUGGCCGUCUCCAUCUGGCAACUGGGAAGAGUCUGCCUCCAGGGCGCCGGGGGUGGGGAGGAGGGCAGAGCGCAGGAUUGCGGAAUGCGCGGCGCACACGCGAGCGGGCAUCACCGCGGGCUUCGCGCCGGCUCGCUUAGGCUCCGGCGCGGGCGCAGCCAGGACCCCGGCCCGGUGCGGAGCGCGCCCUCCCCCACGCCAUCUGGGCCUCCGGCGGCCCAGGCCCGUCCCGCCUCCCCGAGGCCUUCCGCGGCUCGGUGUCCCACGCUGCCCCGGCGGCGGGCGGACGGCAGCGCGGGCCGCCGGUGAGCCGGGGCGAGCGGGGGCCGAGGACGCACGCGGCCGGACGGGCGGCGCGCGCUCCCCUCCCCCGCCCCGGCCGGCAGCGCGAGCCGCCGUUGACGUCACGGGCGCCCGCCUGCCCUGCGCUCCACUGGGCAGAGCGUGCGCGGCCGGCCGCCGAGCACAUGGGCCCGCGGGCCGGCGGGCUCGGGGCGGCCUGGCCCGGGAGGAGCGGCGAGGGGGCGCCAGCAAGGAUGGGCCGCGGCACCCCCGGCCCCCGGCGAGUGGAUUUCCACGCGGGAAGGAGGUUGGCGGCGCCGGUGACCUUCGGAGACACGGCUGGAUCCACCUUCCAGACCUGGAGACACAAAGAUGGAGAGACCCAGUCUGUGGGGAUGCAGAGGUGAAAGAAGCAGAAUAUAAAGGCAGUGAUGAUUAGAGCGCCAUUAAUUUGGAAGGUGGAAACAUUGGUGAACACACUUUGCUGCUUGGGAAGUGGGAGCAGCUGCUCAGGACUGCAUGAAGUUUAUGCCCUGAGGUUUGCAUGAUUGAGUGGGAGAAUCCUGGCCUGAGCCUGAGGACCAUUUGCCGUCAGCCUCGCCUAUGAGAACUCUGGAAGGCCCCUCAGCUUCUGUCGUUCUGCUUUCUUGUUGGUUAAGGGUGGAUCUUGACACCUACUUCAGGGAUGCUGGAGGUGAAACGAGCUACUAUAAAUCUGACUGCUCAGCAGGGUAGCUUCCUAGUUUGGACUCCUCAAAGUCGGAAGGGACCCAUCCAAGCUCGUCAUUUGAUGGAUGACAAAGUCAGGCUCCAGAUGGUGAGUAGUUCUUUGGGAAUUUUCUCACUAUUUCCAUUUGUGUGCCAAAGGAAGAACACACACAUACACACACACAUGCUUGUAUGCACAGAUUAGAUCUGGAAGGAUACACCAAAAAAAAAAAAUGAUAAUAGCGACUGCUACGGAGGAGGCUAACUGGGGGCCUUGGGGGGGAAGAGGGAAGCUUACUGGUGUCUCUGUGACUCUUCAUUCUGUUGGAAAUUUUACUGUGUGCACGUAUUCGUUCUUCAAUUAAUAAGAAACAAGUUCUUAAAAAUCCACCAAGUAGUAAAACAUCUUUGAAUGCAUUCUGCUUCCUAAUGCAUCAAUAAGGAGCCCUGGGAGCACUCAGAACUCUGUUUGUUUUAUAAUUGCCCAUCUGAACCCAAGUCCCCCGAAUCCCAGGCCAGAGGGCUUUCUUCCACUCACACAGACCGUCUCCCAUCCCUUUGCUGGCCUUCCUUUUUUCCUUUCUGCCUUCUGGAAUCUGCCAACUGAAGUCCUAGACACCCAGCCCCUGGUCCCCAGGCAGCUGACCACCCUCUGGUCCACUCUCUGAAAUUGCCUGUAUGGGGGAGCCCUGGGCCUGACUGAGCAGGCCUGAGGCUGGAGGCCCUGGCCUCUCCUCCCCAGCCCCCUUCCUGGCCCGGCGCCUCCAGUGCAGAAGGAAGAGUCUGUGCAGCCUGUUCUCUCUCCUCCUUUGAACCAGGGCCCGUUCCAAGAAUCGCAGCGCUGUUUUGCCUGCACGGCAGGGUUGCGUGGCCCUCCCAGGCCUCAUGCGCCGAGUUGGCAGCUCCCUGGAAAAAUUUCUUCUCCCCUUUCUUUCUGGCACGGAGGGUGGAUUCCCUGCCCCGCCCUGGACAGUGCAUCUCAGGGGUCAUUUGAGUUGAAUCCUGAUGGAGCAUCUUGCUCUGCGGCCCCAGCGGGGCAGGAAGCCUGAAACUCUGAUCUUCCUCCCUCCCAAAAGCCUUGGAUCUGCAUCCUGGCCCAGAGCCCCCUCCCCUCCUUCCACUCAGCCCCCUCCCCUCCUUCCUCCCCAGCCCCCUUCUCUCCUCCCCCCCAACUCCCCUUCCCCAUUGCCACAGCUGAGGAGCCAGGCUGUUAUCGCCCAGUGACCACUCUUUGAAGGCUGUGGAGUUCCAUGGUGAGCAGUUUUUUUCUACCCAGGGACCAAUUCAGGAAACAUAAAAGCAUUUAUAGGCCACUUUUGUUUAUCCAUUCAAAAUGAAAAUGGCCAUAUUGAUGCCAUGGCCCGGGGUGGGCAGGAGAGCGUUGUGUCUCCUCACAGCUUGGAUUGUCCACUUUAUGAGAAAGAAGGCCCUUAUUAAGAAGUGCCAGUGCUGUCUGCCAUUCACACCUGGGCACAUUUCAGCAAAGCAGAGCCAACUGCCUCCUCUUUUCAUUCUCAAAGCAGACUUCAGGCCAAAUGAUCUUACUAUUUAUCUAGUUCUUUGUGGUACAGAUGAGGGAAACUGAGGCCCAGAGUGGACAUAACAUUCCCGAGGGAGAGACUUUGUAAGGUUCUGGGUAGUAAGACUUAUUAUUAUUGAUAACAACAACGACAAUAAUAAUAAGAAGCAGUAAUAGCAGUCACAAAGCAUGGGGCUUUUACUUUUCAGAUGGGACAGUGAAGGCUGGUGGCUUCUCUCUCUUCUGCCAGCAGCACAAGCCCUGUGGUGUUUAUAUUUCUCCUUGGCCAGGGAUGUAUUUUGAAAUUUAAAUGAUAAAGCAAACAAACUCUGUUUUCACUGAAGCUUUAGAAAACCUGCGUGAAACCUCUCCACCGUGGUUGGUGGUUUUGGAGCCAAGAUUGGCCAAAUUUCCCUUUCAACGUGGGGAGAGGGGGGCAUUAAGGACAGUCCAUCCACAGAGCGUGAAUGACGGCAUUCAUCUUGAUUGAGCUCAGCGAAUGAGCGCGAGGAUGAUGCGUGCCCCGCCAAACUCACCCUUUUAUGUAUGUGCUGGUGGCCAAUUUGUCUUUGCUCAAAAUGGAAAGCUGACAAGAUGGGCUAUUUUUCCUGUUAAAAAUAAUCACAUGCCAGAUGCUGUUCCAAGUUCUGCACCUCAACCAGUUAAAGAUUUUUGGAUGUUUUGCCCAGUGCCUGUUCAGAAGGUAAGCUUGUUAGCAUCUGAGCCAAGUGUAAUAAUAAUAUUUCAGGUGAGGGACUGCAAAGGACUCUGUAAUGAGCAAAAAGUAAUUAUUGCAUAUUGCAUGUAAUGAACCCUUUUAAAUGUGUGUAUAUAUAUGAUGGGGUGGUCCCAGCAACAAAAAUUUAUGUUACAACUGCAGAAUGAAACCUCCGUCUGCCUUUAAGUUUGUUCCCAGAAGCGGUUGGUAGCCAAGUCCUUUCUCCCUGGUAACCGAAGCUUCCCAGAAACCCUUUCUGACAGAAGAGCUGCCAGAGGGCUUUUAAGCAAGACUUUCAGGUAUAGCUUUGCAGGCCUCCUUUCUUCACAUCCGUUCUGUAAAAAGAGGGCGACUGCUCAGCCCCGUGUAAAGAACCCGUUUUCUGGAGUCGGGCUGUGUUUGCAUCUCAGCUCUGCCACUCACUAGCUGUGUAACCUUGGGCCAGGGUCCUCCGUUCCCC
RNAcentral lists this long non-coding RNA (4265 nucleotides) under Equus asinus (donkey). Its description in RNAcentral is "lncRNA (ENSEASG00005028465.1)". The stretch from base 1038 to 1215 matches the Rfam family "Pvt1 oncogene conserved region 1". Lineage: Eukaryota; Metazoa; Chordata; Mammalia; Perissodactyla; Equidae. The record is from RNAcentral.